This 449-nucleotide ribosomal RNA is filed under the name uncultured bacterium. RNAcentral describes it as "partial 16S ribosomal RNA". It matches the Rfam family "Bacterial small subunit ribosomal RNA", at positions 28 to 523 of the family's 1533-position model. The record is from RNAcentral.
GAUGAACGCUGGCGGCAGGCCUAACACAUGCAAGUCGAACGCUGUAGCAAUACAGAGUGGCAGACGGGUGAGUAACACGUGGGAAUCUUCCUAUCGGUACGGAAUAGCUCAGGGAAACUUGGGGUAAUACCGCAUACGCCCUUCGGGGGAAAGAUUUAUCGCCGAUAGAUGAGCCCGCGUCUGAUUAGCUAGUUGGUGAGGUAAUGGCUCACCAAGGCGACGAUCAGUAGCUGGUCUGAGAGGAUGACCAGCCACACUGGGACUGAGACACGGCCCAGACUCCUACGGGAGGCAGCAGUGGGGAAUAUUGGACAAUGGGCGCAAGCCUGAUCCAGCCAUGCCGCGUGAGUGACGAAGGUCUUCGGAUUGUAAAGCUCUUUUGGCGGGGACGAUAAUGACGGUACCCGCAGAAUAAGCCCCGGCUAACUUCGUGCCAGCAGCCGCCGUAA